Molecule: transfer RNA, 67 nt
Filed under: Salmo salar (Atlantic salmon)
Lineage: Eukaryota; Metazoa; Chordata; Actinopteri; Salmoniformes; Salmonidae
Rfam family: tRNA (bases 6-63)
About the family: Transfer RNA (tRNA) molecules are approximately 80 nucleotides in length. Their secondary structure includes four short double-helical elements and three loops (D, anti-codon, and T loops). Further hydrogen bonds mediate the characteristic L-shaped molecular structure. tRNAs have two regions of fundamental functional importance: the anti-codon, which is responsible for specific mRNA codon recognition, and the 3' end, to which the tRNAs corresponding amino acid is attached (by aminoacyl-tRNA synthetases). tRNAs cope with the degeneracy of the genetic code in two manners: having more than one tRNA (with a specific anti-codon) for a particular amino acid; and 'wobble' base-pairing, i.e. permitting non-standard base-pairing at the 3rd anti-codon position.
Source: Rfam by way of RNAcentral
UGAUCUCUAGCUCAGUAGAGCAUGGCGCUUAUAACGCCAAGAUAGUGGGCUCAAUUCCCGGGACCAC